UUUAACUCGAUUUACUUCUAUUACGUUAAUUUAAGGUUUUAUUAUUGAUUCGAUUUAUGCUUCUGUCUCUUCUGUGUUCCCUUUUUUCUAGGGUUUUAAGAGCCGUUGGGAAAUCGAUUUUCCAAUUAAAUCUCUCUCGCUGGAGCUGGUUGGAGACAUCUUUGAAGAAAUUAUUAAAAGAGAAAAGCUUUAAACAGGGUUUUAGGAAGAUUGAUCCUGAUCAGUGGGAGUUUGCAAAUGUGGAAUUUAGAAGAGGUCAGAAACAUCUUCUACCAAGAAUUCACCGUCGCAAGCCAAUUCAUUGCCAUUCUGCACAUCAACAAGGUCCAUAGAUUCAGAAAGACAGGAACUUGAAGAUGAAAUCGUGAAGCUCAAACAUGAUAAGCAUUUGC
This is a long non-coding RNA of Daucus carota subsp. sativus, 392 nucleotides long. RefSeq lists it as uncharacterized. Lineage: Eukaryota; Viridiplantae; Streptophyta; Magnoliopsida; Apiales; Apiaceae. The record is from RefSeq and is a predicted model, not a curated record. The transcript is spliced from 3 exons.